This 613-nucleotide ribosomal RNA is filed under the name uncultured bacterium. Its description in RNAcentral is "bacterial SSU rRNA". It matches the Rfam family "Bacterial small subunit ribosomal RNA", at positions 104 to 702 of the family's 1533-position model. The record is from RNAcentral.
GGGUGAGUAACACGUGGGUAACCUGCCCAUCAGAAGGGGAUAACACUUGGAAACAGGUGCUAAUACCGUAUAACAAUCGAAACCGCAUGGUUUCGUUUUGAAAGGCGCUUUACGGUGCCGCUGAUGGAUGGACCCGCGGUGCAUUAGCUAGUUGGUGAGGUAACGGCUCACCAAGGCCACGAUGCAUAGCCGACCUGAGAGGGUGAUCGGCCACAUUGGGACUGAGACACGGCCCAAACUCCUACGGGAGGCAGCAGUAGGGAAUCUUCGGCAAUGGACGAAAGUCUGACCGAGCAACGCCGCGUGAGUGAAGAAGGUUUUCGGAUCGUAAACUCUGUUGUUAGAGAAGAACAAGGGUGAGAGUAACUGUUCACCCCUUGACGGUAUCUAACCAGAAAGCCACGGCUAACUACGUGCCAGCAGCCGCGGUAAUACGUAGGUGGCAAGCGUUGUCCGGAUUUAUUGGGCGUAAAGCGAGCGCAGGCGGUUUCUUAAGUCUGAUGUGAAAGCCCCCGGCUCAACCGGGGAGGGUCAUUGGAAACUGGGAGACUUGAGUGCAAGAAGAGGAGAGUGGAAUUCCAUGUGUAAGCGGUGAAAUGCGUAAAUAUAUGGA